Long non-coding RNA from Ahaetulla prasina, 1168 nucleotides. RefSeq lists it as uncharacterized. NCBI's taxonomy places the organism in Eukaryota, Metazoa, Chordata, Lepidosauria, Squamata, Colubridae. The record is from RefSeq and is a predicted model, not a curated record. The transcript has 5 exons.
AAUUGAUAACUUAAGAAACCCAGAUUGAGAUCUCCAAAUAUGUUUUUAUAUUUAUUAGUUGUUUGUGUCUGACUCUUUGCAGGGAAGAGUUCCUGUUGUGGCCCGCCAAGCUGGCAGCAGAUUCAGACAGUGAGAAGGUUGGGGAGGAACAUGGGCUAGUCCUGGAAUCUGGGGAAGGCUCUGCAUCGGAAGCAAAGAUGGGGCCAGGGCCAUAUGACAGUUAUCAGCUGCUUUUGGAGUCAGACAUCUGUGAGGCAGAAGAAUAGCUAGAGCCUGUUCCCAGUAUAUGCAUGCACAGAGUUGCCAGAUGAAGGGAACAGCUAAGGAGCAAUGAUCAACUUGGAAAACAAGAUGAUUGAAGACUUCUGAAACCAAGGUUUCCAGGCAGUUUCUGGCCAAAAAAAAGGCCCAUUCUCAAAAAUGGAUUUACCGAACGACCAUGUCAUUCGCUUAAGAACUGUGAUAACUGGCACAAAUGUCAACCUUCCAUGGUAACUUCUGUUAAGAUGCACACAGUUGCUUUGGUGAGAAAAGUGUGUAAGAUGAAGAUGAAGAUGGCCUCAAAGAUCAACUAUCCAAUUAUUCUGCAGAUAGCUAGAUAAUGUACAGGAAGUAUUUGUAAUGUCUAUUUAACAGAGAAGGACAAUCUACUGGAAACAUUUUAUAUGCAUAUCCCUCAUACAGAAAAGCAUGCAUUAUAUUGAUGACAGAGUCUCCUAAAACAAUGCGAUCAAAAUGUGGUAUUACAAUUAUAUUUCUCGAUAGCAAUAUUUCUUCUCUAAUAAAGAAAAAAAAAUCAAGCUUCUGGAAGAAUUAUCAAAAUCGAGGGUAAACUCAAUGCCCCCCCAAAACUCUGAAAAGAGACUUAAAACCUUCAGCUUUGAGCCUCCAAUGAUGCCACUGGGUCACCAAGCCCACUGCAGCCCUCCAAGGAGUCCCCCAAAAAAGGAAAGAAUGGAGGGGGAGGAGGAAUUUCCAGGUCCAACCAUAGAGAAACACUAUGUGAUCCUGUCAUGCGUUUGUUUCAACUAUGUUUUAUUAACUGUUCAAGAUCAUUAAAAACUGAACACGCACACUUCGUAAAAUCUAUUUAUUAACAUUCCAUACAACAAAGUGACAAUAAGCCCUAAUUUUAAUAUUUUUUAAAAAGCCAAAGUGAAGUUUGCAA